UACGAAGGGGGCUAGCGUUGUUCGGAGUUACUGGGCGUAAAGGGCGCGUAGGCGGCUGGUCAAGUCGGGGGUGAAAGCCCGGGGCUCAACCCCGGAAAUGCACUCGAGACUGAUCGGCUUGAGGACGGGAGAGGAUAGUGGAAUUCCCAGUGUAGAGGUGAAAUUCGUAGAUAUUGGGAAGAACACCGGUGGCGAAGGCGGCCUGCUGGGGUCUUGGCUGACGCUGAAGCGCGACAGCGUGGGGAGCAAACAGG
RNAcentral lists this ribosomal RNA (254 nucleotides) under uncultured bacterium. RNAcentral's name for it is "partial 16S ribosomal RNA". It matches the Rfam family "Bacterial small subunit ribosomal RNA", at positions 524 to 776 of the family's 1533-position model. The record is from RNAcentral.